UCUAGGAGGACUCUGAGCAGCAUGGCAAGUCAUUUCUUUCCACCCUCCAGGUUACCUUCUCUGACUAAUUCAUUGUUUUCAUUCAACAAAUAUUUACUGAGUACCUCCUAGCCCAGGCUUUGUAUUAUUUUAGAGAAUACCAAGAAGUGUAAACUUGUUUCUUAUCCUGAAGAGGAGGCAGAUGCACAAAGAAAGGGUGAGAUGAGGAGAAUGGUUAUCAAGUCCCAACCACAUGCCAGAGGUUAUGCAGCCUUUUGCAAAUGGUCAUAAUAGAGGGACCCCACUGCUCUUCAGAUGCCUGCAGAGCCCUCAACCAGGAAAACGGCUCUCUCAGAAUCCUCCUCACGGAAGCCCACAAGUCUUCAGUCUGGCAUGAAGUGGAGGAAAGAAGAGGAGAGAGAGGCAGACCCAAGACAACACCCUGAGGGGUAUGAAAUGGAGGAGUCAGAUUUUAAGCCAUCUCAGUUUCUUAUCUCUCCUUUAUGUGAUAAAUCCGUGAAGGGCUUCUUCCAUAUUUCCUGCUUUUCUUCUCAUCCUCCUGCUUGAGAACUGUCCUGGCCACCCAGAAUCUCUCAUCUAAAACCACAAAAGGGAAGACUGGCUGUGUAGAUCCAGCUCUCCAUUCCCAGCCUAAACCGCAGCUCCCCACCUGUUAUCUCCAGCUCAAGUUAACAUCCUGCAAGACCCAGCUCCGCAGGCCUCUUCUCAACGCCUCUUCUAACUCAGGCCACAGCGUAAGGGCCUCAUCUUCCCACCAUUGUCCUCUGUGCACAUUGCAACAGCAGCAGCACGUGGCUUAUAUUUGUUCUAGGUCUGUUUCCCAUUGGCCUUUGGGCAUCUUGAGGACAGGCGUGUCCCAGGUAUGUCUGACCUUCCAGCACCCAGCGGUGUCAGGCACAGAGCAGAAACUCAGCGAGUGUGGAAAGGGGCAGGAGAAAUCUGGUCUCCGGAGCACCACUUCCCUGGGGCCACUCCGCUCAGGGUCCAACUCUGUUCUUACCGGAUGUAACCUGGGGGGACAUGAUGAAGGAUGACCAAGUGGGGCUGGAAAGAGAAGAGAGGAAGUUGGUGUUUAGAGAAUGACUGGAGGAAGAAUUGCAAGAACUUCAUGAAAUAGAGUCUUGUUAAGGAUUCAGGCUCUAAAAUUCAAGACAGGUGAUUUCAAUUCCUGGCUGUGCCACCUAUGAAUUGUGUCAUAUGUUUCCAUUUCCAAAUAUGUAAAAUGGAUCAGCUAUCUGCUUUUAAAAAUGCCUGAGCGAUAGCUGAACUAAUAGACAUGACAUGGCACCUGCUAAGUAUUUAUUGUUAUUAUUAUCAGAGACUUUAAA
Long non-coding RNA from Talpa occidentalis (Iberian mole), 1328 nucleotides. RefSeq lists it as uncharacterized. Lineage: Eukaryota; Metazoa; Chordata; Mammalia; Eulipotyphla; Talpidae. The transcript has 3 exons. The record is from RefSeq and is a predicted model, not a curated record.